GAUGAACGCUAGCUACAGGCUUAACACAUGCAAGUCGCGGGGCAGCAUGGGGGUUGCUUGCAAUCCCCGAUGGCGACCGGCGCACGGGUGAGUAACGCGUAUCCAACCUGCCCUUCACCACGGGAUAACCCGGCGAAAGUCGGACUAAUACCGUAUGUUGUCCAUUGACGGCAUCCGAUUUUGACUAAAGGUUUGGCGUUGAAGUGUGGGGAUGCGUCCGAUUAGCUGGACGGCGGGGUGACGGCCCACCGUGGCGACGAUCGGUAGGGGUUCUGAGAGGAAGGUCCCCCACACUGGAACUGAGACACGGUCCAGACUCCUACGGGAGGCAGCAGUGAGGAAUAUUGGUCAAUGGGCGUAAGCCUGAACCAGCCAAGUAGCGUGCAGGAAGACGGCCCUAUGGGUUGUAAACUGCUUUUAUGCGGGGAUAAAGUGGCCCACGUGUGGGUUUUUGCAGGUACCGCAUGAAUAAGGACCGGCUAAUUCCGUG
RNAcentral lists this ribosomal RNA (490 nucleotides) under uncultured bacterium. RNAcentral describes it as "partial 16S ribosomal RNA". It matches the Rfam family "Bacterial small subunit ribosomal RNA", at positions 28 to 507 of the family's 1533-position model. The record is from RNAcentral.